CAUAUCAUAUUUUAUAUAUAAUAGUAUCAUGUAAUAUUCAAUUCCACUUUUUAUUUAUAUACCCUCAAAAAACUUUACCACAAGAAAAUAUAGGAAUUUCAUGUAUGCAUGCAUUUAUAUGUGUGUGUGUGUGUGUGUAUAUAUACAUAUUUAUGACUUACAAAUAAACAUAGCAAAUUAUUUUAAUUGUACAUUUGAAUAAUUUUUUACUUACCAAUAUUUGAACAGUAAGAUUCAUGAAGCUGUGGGUGUAGUUAAGUGGUAGAUCAGUUGCCUAGCCUGUGCAAGGCCCUGAAUUUCUCUUUUAGCACAACAAAAAUAAAUAAAUAAUAAGAUUCAGAGAUGAGUGAUAUAAUUCAUCAUUAUUUGAUGUUAACCACAGUAAAAUAUUUAUAAGAAACUCAUUAAUUUCCAAGAAGGCCAUAAUGAUAGCAGUGAUAUUUAAUCAUAUACUUGAAGAAUCUAAUGAAAACAAUCUUAAGGAAA
This 486-nucleotide long non-coding RNA is filed under the name Marmota monax (woodchuck). The record is from RNAcentral. Lineage: Eukaryota; Metazoa; Chordata; Mammalia; Rodentia; Sciuridae.